GAUAAGAUGGCUGAAUUUUAGGUUAUAAAUUGUAAAUUUAUAUAUGGUGUAAACCUCUUAUCA
Molecule: transfer RNA, 63 nt
Filed under: Cavelerius excavatus
Lineage: Eukaryota; Metazoa; Arthropoda; Insecta; Hemiptera; Blissidae
Also listed under: 1 other name
Description: tRNA-Tyr
Source: RNAcentral